This 534-nucleotide ribosomal RNA is filed under the name uncultured bacterium. RNAcentral describes it as "bacterial SSU rRNA". It matches the Rfam family "Bacterial small subunit ribosomal RNA", at positions 133 to 699 of the family's 1533-position model. The record is from RNAcentral.
UGAGUGGGGGAUAACUUCGGGAAACCGAGGCUAAUACCGCAUAAUACCGAGAGGUCAAAGGAGCAAUUCGCUUUAGGAGGGGGUCGCGGCUGAUUAGCUAGUUGGUAGGGUAAUGGCCUACCAAGGCAAUGAUCAGUAUCCGGCCUGAGAGGGCGCACGGACACACUGGAACUGAAACACGGUCCAGACUCCUACGGGAGGCAGCAGUGGGGAAUUUUGCACAAUGGGGGAAACCCUGAUGCAGCAACGCCGCGUGGAGGAUGAAGUCCCUUGGGAUGUAAACUCCUUUCGACCGGGACGAUAAUGACGGUACCGGUGGAAGAAGCCCCGGCUAACUCUGUGCCAGCAGCCGCGGUAAUACAGAGGGGGCAAGCGUUGUUCGGAAUUAUUGGGCGUAAAGGGUGUGUAGGCGGUGCGGUAAGUCUUUUGUGAAAUCUCCGGGCUCAACUCGGAGUCUGCAGGAGAAACUGCCGUGCUUGAGUAUGGGAGAGGUGAGUGGAAUUCCUGGUGUAGCGGUGAAAUGCGUAGAUAUCA